UAAUACGGGGGGAGCAAGCGUUGUUCGGAUUUACUGGGCGUAAAGGGCGCGUAGGCGGUCAGCACAAGUCAGUUGUGAAAUCUCCGAGCUUAACUCGGAAAGGUCAACUGAUACUGUGCGACUAGAGUGCAGAAGGGGCAACUGGAAUUCUCGGUGUAGCGGUGAAAUGCGUAGAUAUCGAGAGGAACACCUGCGGCGAAGGCGGGUUGCUGGGCUGACACUGACGCUGAGGCGCGAAAGCUAGGGGAGCGAACGGGAUUAGAUACCCCGGUAGUCCUAGCCUUAAACGAUGAAUGCUUGGUGUCUGGGGUUAUAUAGUCCCCGGGUGCCGUCGCUAACGCUUUAAGCAUUCCGCCUGGGGAGUACGGUCGCAAGAUUA
Molecule: ribosomal RNA, 379 nt
Filed under: uncultured bacterium
Lineage: Bacteria
Description: bacterial SSU rRNA
Rfam family: Bacterial small subunit ribosomal RNA
Source: RNAcentral